RNAcentral lists this ribosomal RNA (497 nucleotides) under uncultured bacterium. Its description in RNAcentral is "partial 16S ribosomal RNA". It matches the Rfam family "Bacterial small subunit ribosomal RNA", at positions 28 to 507 of the family's 1533-position model. The record is from RNAcentral.
GAUGAACGCUGGCGGCGUGCCUAAUACAUGUAAGUCGAGCGAACAGACGAGGAGCUUGCUCCUCUGACGUUAGCGGCGGACGGGUGAGUAACACGUGGAUAACCUACCUAUAAGACUGGGAUAACUUCGGGAAACCGGAGCUAAUACCGGAUAAUAUAUUGAACCGCAUGGUUCAAUAGUGAAAGACGGUUUUGCUGUCACUUAUAGAUGGAUCCGCGCCGCAUUAGCUAGUUGGUAAGGUAACGGCUUACCAAGGCAACGAUGCGUAGCCGACCUGAGAGGGUGAUCGGCCACACUGGAACUGAGACACGGUCCAGACUCCUACGGGAGGCAGCAGUAGGGAAUCCUCCGCAAUGGGCGAAAGCCUGACGGAGCAACGCCGCGUGAGUGAUGAAGGUCUUCGGAUCGUAAAACUCUGUUAUUAGGGAAGAACAAAUGUGUAAGUAACUAUGCACGUCUUGACGGUACCUAAUCAGAAAGCCACGGCUAACUACGUG